GAUUAUUGUCGUUGCAAUUGCGGCAUUACAAACAUUGUGGUUGCAACAUUUAUAAUUGUGAUUGCUUCCGUUACGAUUGCGGCAUUACAAUUGUGAUUGUUGUCGUUGCAGUUGUUGCGUUUGAUAGAAUAUAAUAUUUUGUUAUAAUUAAUCAUAAUUAGUUUCUUAUAAUUAUGUUGUAUCAUAAUUAGAUAGUUGAUCAAAUGUUAUAUAUUGAUGUAUAUAUAUUCUAUUCAGAUCAAUGAAAAGGAC
This 252-nucleotide long non-coding RNA is filed under the name Lathyrus oleraceus (garden pea). RNAcentral describes it as "Pisum sativum (pea) long non-coding RNA (PSAT_LNC002785)". The record is from RNAcentral. Lineage: Eukaryota; Viridiplantae; Streptophyta; Magnoliopsida; Fabales; Fabaceae.